RNAcentral lists this ribosomal RNA (2772 nucleotides) under Escherichia coli. RNAcentral describes it as "partial 23S ribosomal RNA". It matches the Rfam family "Bacterial large subunit ribosomal RNA". The record is from RNAcentral. Lineage: Bacteria; Pseudomonadati; Pseudomonadota; Gammaproteobacteria; Enterobacterales; Enterobacteriaceae.
UUGUGAGGUUAAGCGACUAAGCGUACACGGUGGAUGCCCUGGCAGUCAGAGGCGAUGAAGGACGUGCUAAUCUGCGAUAAGCGUCGGUGAGGUGAUAUGAACCGUUAUAACCGGCGAUUUCCGAAUGGGGAAACCCAGUGUGUUUCGACACACUAUCAUUAACUGAAUCCAUAGGUUAAUGAGGCGAACCGGGGGAACUGAAACAUCUAAGUACCCCGAGGAAAAGAAAUCAACCGAGAUUCCCCCAGUAGCGGCGAGCGAACGGGGAGGAGCCCAGAGCCUGAAUCAGUGUGUGUGUUAGUGGAAGCGUCUGGAAAGGCGCGCGAUACAGGGUGACAGCCCCGUACACAAAAAUGCACAUAUUGUGAGCUCGAUGAGUAGGGCGGGACACGUGGUAUCCUGUCUGAAUAUGGGGGGACCAUCCUCCAAGGCUAAAUACUCCUGACUGACCGAUAGUGAACCAGUACCGUGAGGGAAAGGCGAAAAGAACCCCGGCGAGGGGAGUGAAAAAGAACCUGAAACCGUGUACGUACAAGCAGUGGGAGCCUCUUUAUGGGGUGACUGCGUACCUUUUGUAUAAUGGGUCAGCGACUUAUAUUCUGUAGCAAGGUUAACCGAAUAGGGGAGCCGAAGGGAAACCGAGUCUUAACUGGGCGUUAAGUUGCAGGGUAUAGACCCGAAACCCGGUGAUCUAGCCAUGGGCAGGUUGAAGGUUGGGUAACACUAACUGGAGGACCGAACCGACUAAUGUUGAAAAAUUAGCGGAUGACUUGUGGCUGGGGGUGAAAGGCCAAUCAAACCGGGAGAUAGCUGGUUCUCCCCGAAAGCUAUUUAGGUAGCGCCUCGUGAAUUCAUCUCCGGGGGUAGAGCACUGUUUCGGCAAGGGGGUCAUCCCGACUUACCAACCCGAUGCAAACUGCGAAUACCGGAGAAUGUUAUCACGGGAGACACACGGCGGGUGCUAACGUCCGUCGUGAAGAGGGAAACAACCCAGACCGCCAGCUAAGGUCCCAAAGUCAUGGUUAAGUGGGAAACGAUGUGGGAAGGCCCAGACAGCCAGGAUGUUGGCUUAGAAGCAGCCAUCAUUUAAAGAAAGCGUAAUAGCUCACUGGUCGAGUCGGCCUGCGCGGAAGAUGUAACGGGGCUAAACCAUGCACCGAAGCUGCGGCAGCGACACUAUGUGUUGUUGGGUAGGGGAGCGUUCUGUAAGCCUGUGAAGGUGGCCUGUGAGGGUUGCUGGAGGUAUCAGAAGUGCGAAUGCUGACAUAAGUAACGAUAAAGCGGGUGAAAAGCCCGCUCGCCGGAAGACCAAGGGUUCCUGUCCAACGUUAAUCGGGGCAGGGUGAGUCGACCCCUAAGGCGAGGCCGAAAGGCGUAGUCGAUGGGAAACAGGUUAAUAUUCCUGUACUUGGUGUUACUGCGAAGGGGGGACGGAGAAGGCUAUGUUGGCCGGGCGACGGUUGUCCCGGUUUAAGCGUGUAGGCUGGUUUUCCAGGCAAAUCCGGAAAACCAAGGCUGAGGCGUGAUGACGAGGCACUACGGUGCUGAAGCGACAAAUGCCCUGCUUCCAGGAAAAGCCUCUAAGCAUCAGGUAACAUCAAAUCGUACCCCAAACCGACACAGGUGGUCAGGUAGAGAAUACCAAGGCGCUUGAGAGAACUCGGGUGAAGGAACUAGGCAAAAUGGUGCCGUAACUUCGGGAGAAGGCACGCUGAUAUGUAGGUGAAGCGACUUGCUCGUGGAGCUGAAAUCAGUCGAAGAUACCAGCUGGCUGCAACUGUUUAUUAAAAACACAGCACUGUGCAAACACGAAAGUGGACGUAUACGGUGUGACGCCUGCCCGGUGCCGGAAGGUUAAUUGAUGGGGUUAGCGGUAACGCGAAGCUCUUGAUCGAAGCCCCGGUAAACGGCGGCCGUAACUAUAACGGUCCUAAGGUAGCGAAAUUCCUUGUCGGGUAAGUUCCGACCUGCACGAAUGGCGUAAUGAUGGCCAGGCUGUCUCCACCCGAGACUCAGUGAAAUUGAACUCGCUGUGAAGAUGCAGUGUACCCGCGGCAAGACGGAAAGACCCCGUGAACCUUUACUAUAGCUUGACACUGAACAUUGAGCCUUGAUGUGUAGGAUAGGUGGGAGGCUUUGAAGUGUGGACGCCAGUCUGCAUGGAGCCGACCUUGAAAUACCACCCUUUAAUGUUUGAUGUUCUAACGUUGGCCCGUAAUCCGGGUUGCGGACAGUGUCUGGUGGGUAGUUUGACUGGGGCGGUCUCCUCCUAAAGAGUAACGGAGGAGCACGAAGGUUGGCUAAUCCUGGUCGGACAUCAGGAGGUUAGUGCAAUGGCAUAAGCCAGCUUGACUGCGAGCGUGACGGCGCGAGCAGGUGCGAAAGCAGGUCAUAGUGAUCCGGUGGUUCUGAAUGGAAGGGCCAUCGCUCAACGGAUAAAAGGUACUCCGGGGAUAACAGGCUGAUACCGCCCAAGAGUUCAUAUCGACGGCGGUGUUUGGCACCUCGAUGUCGGCUCAUCACAUCCUGGGGCUGAAGUAGGUCCCAAGGGUAUGGCUGUUCGCCAUUUAAAGUGGUACGCGAGCUGGGUUUAGAACGUCGUGAGACAGUUCGGUCCCUAUCUGCCGUGGGCGCUGGAGAACUGAGGGGGGCUGCUCCUAGUACGAGAGGACCGGAGUGGACGCAUCACUGGUGUUCGGGUUGUCAUGCCAAUGGCACUGCCCGGUAGCUAAAUGCGGAAGAGAUAAGUGCUGAAAGCAUCUAAGCACGAAA